This 328-nucleotide unclassified non-coding RNA is filed under the name air metagenome. RNAcentral's name for it is "partial contains small subunit ribosomal RNA, internal transcribed spacer 1, and 5.8S ribosomal RNA". The stretch from base 1 to 46 matches the Rfam family "Eukaryotic small subunit ribosomal RNA", at positions 1786 to 1831 of the family's 1831-position model. The record is from RNAcentral.
AAGUCGUAACAAGGUUUCCGUAGGUGAACCUGCGGAAGGAUCAUUACUGAAGCAUUUGCAAUGGUUUUGUUGCUGCCUUGAAAAAGGAUCGUGCACGCCAUUCAAUCUUCUAUUUACCCACCUGUGCACCUUUCAUAGGCUUACGUUGAAUAAGUUGUCACUGUAAAUUGUGGAUGUGGGAGCGUAGCCUGUAGCUUGUUCUCAACUCUUGUUCAACUGUCUGUGUCUUUUUUAUACACACUAUUUGAUAUAAAUGAAUGUAUUGCUCUAUGGAUUGAUUUCCAUAUAAAUGUAAAUACAACUUUCAGCAACGGAUCUCUUGGCUCUC